AAGCGUGAUGUCGCAAAGUCCUUCCCAAAAGGUAUUUACGGCAGCCAACCUGCGGUCUACGGAACCGGAGGUUGCAGGUUCGAAUCCUGCCACGC
This 95-nucleotide transfer RNA is filed under the name Kiritimatiellia bacterium. Its description in RNAcentral is "tRNA-Arg". Lineage: Bacteria; Pseudomonadati; Kiritimatiellota; Kiritimatiellia. The record is from RNAcentral.